UAUAGUUUGGAUCUGGCUCAGGAUGAACGCUGGCGGCGUGCCUAAUACAUGCAAGUCGAACGCGCAGCGAGAGGUGCUUGCACCUUUCAAGCGAGUGGCGAACGGGUGAGUAACACGUGGAUAACCUGCCUCAAGGCUGGGGAUAACAUUUGGAAACAGAUGCUAAUACCGAAUAAAACUUAGUAUCGCAUGAUAUAAAGUUAAAAGGCGCUACGGCGUCACCUAGAGAUGGAUCCGCGGUGCAUUAGUUAGUUGGUGGGGUAAAGGCUUACCAAGACAAUGAUGCAUAGCCGAGUUGAGAGACUGAUCGGCCACAUUGGGACUGAGACACGGCCCAAACUCCUACGGGAGGCUGCAGUAGGGAAUCUUCCACAAUGGGCGCAAGCCUGAUGGAGCAACGCCGCGUGUGUGAUGAAGGCUUUCGGGUCGUAAAGCACUGUUGUAUGGGAAGAAAUGCUAAAAUAGGGAAUGAUUUUAGUUUGACGGUACCAUACCAGAAAGGGACGGCUAAAUACGUGCCAGCAGCCGCGGUAAUACGUAUGUCCCGAGCGUUAUCCGGAUUUAUUGGGCGUAAAGCGAGCGCAGACGGUUGAUUAAGUCUGAUGUGAAAGCCCGGAGCUCAACUCCGGAAUGGCAUUGGAAACUGGUUAACUUGAGUGUUGUAGAGGUAAGUGGAACUCCAUGUGUAGCGGUGGAAUGCGUAGAUAUAUGGAAGAACACCAGUGGCGAAGGCGGCUUACUGGACAACAACUGACGUUGAGGCUCGAAAGUGUGGGUAGCAAACAGGAUUAGAUACCCUGGUAGUCCACACCGUAAACGAUGAAUACUAGGUGUUAGGAGGUUUCCGCCUCUUAGUGCCGAAGCUAACGCAUUAAGUAUUCCG
Molecule: ribosomal RNA, 883 nt
Filed under: Leuconostoc citreum
Lineage: Bacteria; Bacillati; Bacillota; Bacilli; Lactobacillales; Lactobacillaceae
Description: bacterial SSU rRNA
Rfam family: Bacterial small subunit ribosomal RNA
Source: RNAcentral